RNAcentral lists this ribosomal RNA (296 nucleotides) under uncultured bacterium. RNAcentral describes it as "partial 16S ribosomal RNA". It matches the Rfam family "Bacterial small subunit ribosomal RNA", at positions 775 to 1067 of the family's 1533-position model. The record is from RNAcentral.
GGAUUAGAUACCCUGGUAGUCCACGCCGUAAACGAUGGAAGCUAGCCGUCGGUGUGCAUGCACAUCGGUGGCGCAGUUAACGCACUAAGCUUCCCGCCUGGGGAGUACGGUCGCAAGAUUAAAACUCAAAGGAGUUGACGGGGGCCCGCACAAGCGGUGGAGCAUGUGGUUUAAUUCGAAGCAACGCGCAGAACCUUACCAGCCCUUGACAUCCCGGUCGCGGUUUCCAGAGAUGGAUUCCUUCAGUUCGGCUGGACCGGUGACAGGUGCUGCAUGGCUGUCGUCAGCUCGUGUCG